AUAAACGCAAUGAAUGGAAGUAGUAAGGAUUGUCACGGGAAAUCAGAGAGCUGCGGGGGGGUGCAACGCAGUCGAACGUGAGCCUGAACUCGUCCGGGAGCGGAACGGUGGAAGAAGCUGUAUCUACAAGCUAUAGAACAGCAUUCAUUACACGGUUACGAUUCAUCCUCGUGAACGGAUGUGCUGGAAGUCGUUAUUUUGGCGGCAACAGCAUGGAGUGGGUAGGGUUGACGCCUUGCCAACGAGAGUGGUACCGCGACGGUUUAGGCCUGUCGUCUCUUGA
Molecule: non-coding RNA, 283 nt
Filed under: Paenibacillus selenitireducens
Lineage: Bacteria; Bacillati; Bacillota; Bacilli; Caryophanales; Paenibacillaceae
Description: T-box sequence
Rfam family: T-box leader
About the family: Uncharged tRNA acts as the effector for transcription antitermination of genes in the T-box leader family. T-boxes are found upstream of many aminoacyl-tRNA synthetase genes and some amino acid biosynthetic genes usually in Gram-positive bacteria.
Source: RNAcentral